CCCUUAAAUGUUCUGGGCCGCACGCGUGCUACACUGAGUGGAUCAGCGGGUCAGGUUGCGCGAAAGUGUUUCCUAAUCUUUAAAUCCGCUCGUGAUGGGGAUUGACGGUUGCAAUUUUCCGUCAUGAACGAGGAAUACCUUGUAAGCGCGGGUCAUCAUCCCGCGCUGAAUACGUCCCUGCCCUUUGUACACACCGCCCGUCGCUCCUACCGAUUGAGUGGUCCGGUGAGGCUUUGGGAUCUGAGCGGAAAGAGCGUUUCGCUGUUUCUGCCCGGAAAACUCAGUCGAACCUUAUCAUUUAGAGGAAGGAGAAGUCGGAACA
RNAcentral lists this ribosomal RNA (322 nucleotides) under uncultured eukaryote. RNAcentral describes it as "partial 18S ribosomal RNA". It matches the Rfam family "Eukaryotic small subunit ribosomal RNA", at positions 1470 to 1796 of the family's 1831-position model. The record is from RNAcentral.